This 301-nucleotide ribosomal RNA is filed under the name uncultured bacterium. RNAcentral describes it as "partial 16S ribosomal RNA". It matches the Rfam family "Bacterial small subunit ribosomal RNA", at positions 509 to 809 of the family's 1533-position model. The record is from RNAcentral.
CAGCAGCCGCGGGAAUACAGAGGGUGCGAGCGUUAAUCGGAUUUACUGGGCGUAAAGCGUGCGUAGGCGGCUUUUUAAGUCGGAUGUGAAAUCCCUGAGCUUAACUUAGGAAUUGCAUUCGAUACUGGGAAGCUAGAGUAUGGGAGAGGAUGGUAGAAUUCCAGGUGUAGCGGUGAAAUGCGUAGAGAUCUGGAGGAAUACCGAUGGCGAAGGCAGCCAUCUGGCCUAAUACUGACGCUGAGGUACGAAAGCAUGGGGAGCAAACAGGAUUAGAUACCCCAGUAAUCCCUGUCUCUUAUAA